UCUCCGUAGGUGAACCUGCGGAGGGAUCAUUACAGAGUUCAUGCCCUACCGGGUAGAUCUCCCACCCUAUGUUAUUAUUACUUUGUUGCUUUGGCGGGCCGUUAGGCUCCGGCCCGACUACCGGCCCCGGCUGGUAAGCGCCCGGCAGAGGACCCAAAACCCUGAAUAUUAGUGUCGUCUGAGUACUAUAUAAUAGUUAAAACUUUCAACAACGGAUCUCUUGGUUCUG
This 229-nucleotide unclassified non-coding RNA is filed under the name plant metagenome. RNAcentral's name for it is "partial contains small subunit ribosomal RNA, internal transcribed spacer 1, and 5.8S ribosomal RNA". The record is from RNAcentral.